UACCCUUUGCAUAAUGGUGAUACUAUAAUUAAAUUAAAAUUGAUCAUCCCGAAUAUAAAAGAUCUACUUUGAAUUAUAAAUUUUUGGAAGUAUUAUUAUUGUUGCAUAAAUAAGUUAAAAUAGUAAAGUAGUUGUGAAAGGCUUACAUUUUUAUAGAUAACUGGAUUAAAAGAAAAUAUAUUAAGUAUACAAGACAACAUAAAAUUGAUUAGGAUUUUAUGUAAACUGAAUAUUAUAUUACGCUAUAAAUUUUCUGAUUAAUAAGACUAAGCGGAAUAAUUACAAGCAAAUAUUUCCUUAUUUAUAUAUCACUUAAAUACUUUUAUAAACUAAAUCAAUACUCUAAUGUUUUAAUAAUGUAUCAAUUAGUAUGUAUUCAAAAUUAUUAGUAAGGAACUCGACAAUAAUGUUUUACGACUGUUUAUCAAAAACAUAGCCAUAAGUAAAUUUUUAUGGUGUAGUCUGCCCAGUGAAUUAAUUUAACGGCCGCAGUACUUUGACUGUGCUAAGGUAGCAUAAUAAUUUGGCUUUUAAUUGGAGUCUGGAAUGAACGAAACUACGUAUAAUACUUGUCUCAUAUAAUAUAGUAUAUAAAUUAAUAAAGAAGUGAAAAUACUUCUAAUUUAAAUAAAAGACGAGAAGACCCUUAGAAUUUUUAUUACACAUAAAAUUACUUUUAUUACCAUUUUAGUUGGGGCAACUCUAUUUCAUCAUUAAAUAAAUAGUGUAGAUAGUUAUUUAUAGCGAUUAUAUAAAUUAAAAUAAAUUACCUAAGGGAUAACAGCAUAAUUUACAUAAAUAAGAUUGUGACCUCGAUGUUGGACUAGGUACUAUUAGAGCUAAUCGUUUUAAUAAAAUAUGUUCUGUUCGAACUUUGUUACCUACAUGAUCUGAGUUCAGACCGGCGUAAGCCAGGUCAGUUUCUAUCUUUUUUAUUAGUAUAGAAUAGUACGAAGGG
Molecule: ribosomal RNA, 958 nt
Filed under: Agathylla abrupta
Lineage: Eukaryota; Metazoa; Mollusca; Gastropoda; Stylommatophora; Clausiliidae
Description: partial 16S large subunit ribosomal RNA
Source: RNAcentral